GCAUCGCUGAUGAGUCCCAGAAUGGGACGAAACGGCCGUCCAGUUC
RNAcentral lists this non-coding RNA (46 nucleotides) under Schistosoma mansoni. The record is from RNAcentral. Lineage: Eukaryota; Metazoa; Platyhelminthes; Trematoda; Strigeidida; Schistosomatidae.